RNAcentral lists this ribosomal RNA (280 nucleotides) under uncultured prokaryote. RNAcentral describes it as "partial 16S ribosomal RNA". It matches the Rfam family "Bacterial small subunit ribosomal RNA", at positions 524 to 803 of the family's 1533-position model. The record is from RNAcentral.
UACGUAGGGGCUAGCGUUAUCCGGAAUUACUGGGCGUAAAGGGUGCGUAGGUGGUUUCUUAAGUCAGAGGUGAAAGGCUACGGCUCAACCGUAGUAAGCCUUUGAAACUGAGAAACUUGAGUGCAGGAGAGGAGAGUAGAAUUCCUAGUGUAGCGGUGAAAUGCGUAGAUAUUAGGAGGAAUACCAGUUGCGAAGGCGGCUCUCUGGACUGUAACUGACACUGAGGCACGAAAGCGUGGGGAGCAAACAGGAUUAGAUACCCCCGUAGUCCCUGAGCGGG